This 465-nucleotide ribosomal RNA is filed under the name uncultured bacterium. RNAcentral describes it as "partial 16S ribosomal RNA". It matches the Rfam family "Bacterial small subunit ribosomal RNA", at positions 28 to 507 of the family's 1533-position model. The record is from RNAcentral.
GACGAACGCUGGCGGCGUGCUUAACACAUGCAAGUCGAACGGAAAGGCCCUGCUUGCAGGGUACUCGAGUGGCGAACGGGUGAGUAACACGUGGGUGGACUGCCCUGCACUUCGGGUUAAGCAUGGGAAACUGGGUCUAAUACCGGAUAGGGGUCAUUUUGAGUGAGAUGGGUGGAAAGUUUUUUCGGUGGGGGAUGAGCUCGCGGCUUAUCAGCUUGUUGGUGUGGUAAUGGCCUACCAAGGCGGCGACGGGUAGCCGGCCUGAGAGGGUGGACGGCCACAUUGAGACUGAGAUACGGCCCAGACUCCUACGGGAGGCAGCAGUGGGGAAUAUUGCACAAUGGGCGCAAGCCUGAUGCAGCGACGCCGCGUGGGGGAUGACGGCCUUCGGGUUGUAAACGCCUUUCGCUAGGGACGAAGCAUUUUGUGACGGUACCUAGAUAAGAAGCACCGGCUAACUACGUG